RNAcentral lists this microRNA precursor (101 nucleotides) under Tetraodon nigroviridis (spotted green pufferfish). Its description in RNAcentral is "miRNA (ENSTNIG00000020229.1)". The record is from RNAcentral. Lineage: Eukaryota; Metazoa; Chordata; Actinopteri; Tetraodontiformes; Tetraodontidae.
UCAUCAUCAUCAUCAUCAUCAUCAUCAUCAUCAUCAUCAUCAUCAUCAUCAUCAUUAUCGUCACAACACUGCAGGAAUGAUCAUGAUGGGUGUGGUGGAGA